GAGACCCACGCCAACAGUUGCCAGCAUGUCCUCCGGGAUGGUGGGGACACUGUUGGGACCGCCUCUGCUAAAGAGGAGGAAGGAAUGGGCAACGGUAGGUCAGCAUGCCCCGAAUUAUCCGGGCUACACGCGGGCUACAAUGGGCAGGACAAUGGGUUUCGACACCGAAAGGUGAAGGCAAUCUCUUAAACCUGCUCGUAGUUCGGAUUGCGGGUUGCAAUUCGCCCGCAUGAAGCUGGAAUCUGUAGUAAUCGCGUCUCAAAAUGGCGCGGUGAAUAU
This 279-nucleotide ribosomal RNA is filed under the name uncultured methanogenic archaeon. Its description in RNAcentral is "partial 16S ribosomal RNA". It matches the Rfam family "Archaeal small subunit ribosomal RNA", at positions 1047 to 1325 of the family's 1478-position model. Lineage: Archaea; Methanobacteriati; Methanobacteriota. The record is from RNAcentral.